ACCGUUUAGUUAGAUAUAAAUGGGUGAAAAAGGAAGGAAAAAAGGCUCAGAUAGUCAAUUUGUGAAGUGUUCGAUCAGGAAGAAUACCUGGUUUGAAAAAAAGUCAUUUGAGUAUGAUUGAUAUUUUGAUUUUAACGUGGCUCUGGGUGUACGAAGCGAACUCGAAAAUCAUGCCCAUAAUACCCUGUUCCAAGAGCUGCGUUUUGAAGACAGGGUGGAAUUUGGAAAGUAUUUGCGAAUGAUGCCGUGCGAUUUUGAUUAUUUAUUAAACUUAGUGAGCAGCAAAAUUAAAAAACAGGAUACGAUUAUACGUUGAGCAAUUUCACCAUCUGAGAGGCUGCAUGUAGCUUUCUAGCUGGUGGGUGUUCCUAUUCAAAUUUACAGUAUUUGUUUAGAAUACCUAAACAAACAUUGUCAAGAGUGAUACCAGAAGUAUUGGAUGCUUUAUGAGAAUGCAUGCAAGAUUAC
Long non-coding RNA from Stegodyphus dumicola, 468 nucleotides. The record is from RefSeq and is a predicted model, not a curated record. NCBI's taxonomy places the organism in Eukaryota, Metazoa, Arthropoda, Arachnida, Araneae, Eresidae.